AGAGUUUGAUCCUGGCUCAGGAUGAACGCUGGCGGCGUGCUUAACACAUGCAAGUCGAACGAUGAUCUCCAGCUUGCUGGGGGGAUUAGUGGCGAACGGGUGAGUAACACGUGAGUAACCUGCCCUUAACUCUGGGAUAAGCCUGGGAAACUGGGUCUAAUACCGGAUAUGACUCCUCAUCGCAUGGUGGGGGGUGGAAAGCUUUUUGUGGUUUUGGAUGGACUCGCGGCCUAUCAGCUUGUUGGUGAGGUAAUGGCUUACCAAGGCGAUGACGGGUAGCCGGCCUGAGAGGGUGACCGGCCACACUGGGACUGAGACACGGCCCAGACUCCUACGGGAGGCAGCAGUGGGGAAUAUUGCACAAUGGGCGCAAGCCUGAUGCAGCGACGCCGCGUGAGGGAUGACGGCCUUCGGGUUGUAAACCUCUUUCAGUAGGGAAGAAGCGAAAGUGACGGUACCUGCAGAAGAAGCGCCGGCUAACUACGUGCCAGCAGCCGCGGUAAUACGUAGGGCGCAAGCGUUAUCCGGAAUUAUUGGGCGUAAAGAGCUCGUAGGCGGUUUGUCGCGUCUGCCGUGAAAGUCCGGGGCUCAACUCCGGAUCUGCGGUGGGUACGGGCAGACUAGAGUGAUGUAGGGGAGACUGGAAUUCCUGGUGUAGCGGUGAAAUGCGCAGAUAUCAGGAGGAACACCGAUGGCGAAGGCAGGUCUCUGGGCAUUAACUGACGCUGAGGAGCGAAAGCAUGGGGAGCGAACAGGAUUAGAUACCCUGGUAGUCCAUGCCGUAAACGUUGGGCACUAGGUGUGGGGGACAUUCCACGUUUUCCGCGCCGUAGCUAACGCAUUAAGUGCCCCGCCUGGGGAGUACGGCCGCAAGGCUAAAACUCAAAGGAAUUGACGG
This 898-nucleotide ribosomal RNA is filed under the name uncultured soil bacterium. Its description in RNAcentral is "bacterial SSU rRNA". It matches the Rfam family "Bacterial small subunit ribosomal RNA", at positions 8 to 916 of the family's 1533-position model. The record is from RNAcentral.